Molecule: non-coding RNA, 2464 nt
Organism: Pantherophis guttatus
Lineage: Eukaryota; Metazoa; Chordata; Lepidosauria; Squamata; Colubridae
Source: RefSeq, a predicted model, not a curated record
UCGUUUUCUUCCACCGAGCGUGCAGCUUUGGGAGAGAUGCACAUGGAGCGGUGAGGGAGGAAGGGGACACCCGCCUAGCCAGCCAGAUCAGCCGAAUCAACCCUGGCGAACAAUGGGGUGACAGAUGUCACAGCCAGAUCGCCCUCAUAUCCUUUGAAUGUUUUCCAGACUAUUUUCUCUGGCCCCACUAACAGACUUUCGGACUGCUUGUCAUUGAUGAUAUAUUUGAUGUGUGGAUAAACAAAAAUGCCUUCUUUAAUCUUGGCAUCAAUUAUUCUUGGAAACAGCUGUCUCAAACAAUGAAAACCUUCACCUUCCAUGUUCAUCACUUUCACAAAAGUUUUCACCAAGUUUUAUGUGAAACAGAAGCAAAAAUAUCUUUGUAGGCUCAAUAAGUGGUUCAUGUGCCAUGCUUUUCUGUCCUGAAACAAAUUCUUUUAGCAUGGCCAUUUUUCUUAAUGUAACGUGAAUCUCUUUCAACAUGUAACACCUCAUUCACACAUGUAACAUGUAACACCUUAUUCACACAUGUAACAACAGUAUAUCUGAGCUGCAUUUCAAACUACAGAACCAAUACUUUUAGAUCUCUACAGAUAUUCCAGUUGCAUUUGAUGGACAGGACAACAACAGUUACAUGUUUUUGUGUUUCUUUCAUGGGUUCAGAUAUCCAAUAGGUACUGGAGUGUACACUGAAAAAAAGAAAAUUUCUAAAAACUGAAUGUUUGAAAGGAAACUACAGCCACCUAUCUCCACAACCUCCAUCUCAGACACACCAACAACAGCCAAGCCUCCUACAACUGACCCCAUCCCAUUGGGUUCACAACCCCUAGUGAUCACAGAAAAGGAAGUGCAAGACCUAUUUCAAGACAAAAGCCAGAAAAAGCUCCAGGCCCAGACAAGAUAACUCCUUCUUGCUUAAAAGUCUGUGCUGACCAAUUGGCCCCCAUCUUCACCCGAAUCUUCAAUUACUCACUAGAGAUGUGCUAUGUUCCUUCUUGCUUCAGAUGCUCUACUAUCAUCCCAGUGCCGAAGAAGCCCACCAUCAAGGAACUGAAUGACUACAGACCAGUUGCUCUAACAUCUGAAGUCAUGAAAACCUUUGAAAGGCUAGUGCUGUCCCACUUCAAAAUCAUCAUGGAUCCGCUGUUAGACCCCUUGCAAUUUGCAUACCGAGCAAGUAGAUCAACAGAUGAUGCUGUUAAUAUGGCUCUGCACUACAUCCCACAACAUCCUGAAUCUCCAAAGACUCCUCUUUGUAGACUUUAGUUCAGCAUUCAAUAUCAUCAUUCCAGACACUCUUCUAACUAAGCUAAACCAGUUACAGGUACCUGAACACACAUGUAAGUGGAUCAUAAGCUUCCUAACAAACAGGAAGCAGCAGGUGAAGCUAAGCAGAAUCACAUCAGAUACCUGUACAAUUAGCAUAGGGUCUCCCAAGGCUGUGAGCUCUCCCGCUUCUCUUCUCUCUGUAUACCAAUAACUGCAACUCUAACGAUUCAUCUGUUAAACUACUGAAGUUCACAGAUGACACAACAGUAAUCGGUCUCAUUCGAACAAUGAUGCCUCGUGAUGGGACCAGAACAAUCUGGAACUGAACACACUCAAAACCAUAGAAAUGGUGGUAGACUUUAGGAGAAACCCUUCCAUACUUCCACCUCUCACAAUACUAGACAACACAGUAUCAACAGUAGAGAUACUGUGGUAGAAAUUUCUACCAUAUCACAAGAUCAAAAAUGGACAGCUAACAUCAAAAAUGUCAUAAAAAAGCACAACAAAGAAUGUUCUUUCUGCGCCAACUCAGAAAGCUCAAACUGCCCAAGGAGCUGCUGAUCCAGUUCUAUAGAGAAAUUAUUGAGUCUGUCAUCUACACCUCUAUAACUGUCUGGUUUGGUUCUGCAACCCAACAAGACAGAUUCAGACUUCAGAGGAUAAUUAGAACUGCAGAAAAAACAAUUGCUACCAACCUGCCUUCCAUUGAGGACCUGUAUACUGCACGAGUCAAAAAGAGGGCUGUGAAAAUAUUUACAUCGCAUCCUGGACAUAAACUGUUUCAACUCCUACCCUCAAAAUGACGCUAUAGAGUACUGCACACCAGAACAAUUAGACACAAGAACAUUUUUUCCCAAACACCAUCACUCUGCUAAACCAAUAAUUCCCUCAACACUGUCAAACUAUUUACUAAGUCUGCACUACUAUUAAUCUUCUCAUCUUCUCAUCAUUCCCAUCACCCAUCUCCUCCCACUUAUGACUAUAAGACUGUAACCUUGUUGCUGGUAUCCUUACGAUUUAUAUUGAUAUUGUUUCCUGAUUGGUUAUUUGUAACCUAUGAGUAUCAUUAAGUGUUGUACCUUAUGAUUCUUGAUGAACAUAUCUUUUCUUUUAAGUACACUGAAAUCAUAUGCACCAAGACAAAUUCCUUGUGUGUCCAAUCACACUUGGCCAAUAAAAAUUCUAUUCUAUUUUA